ACGGUACCCGAGGAGGAAGCCCCGGCUAACUACGUGCCAGCAGCCGCGGUAAUACGUAGGUGGCAAGCGUUGUUCGGAAUGACUGGGCGUAAAGGGCGUGUAGGUGGACUAAUCAGUCGGGUGUGAAAUAUCCAGGCUCAACCUGGAGGGUGCAUCCGAUACGGUCAGUCUUGAGUGCAGGAGAGGGCAGUGGAAUUCCCAGUGUAGCGGUGAAAUGCGUAGAUAUUGGGAGGAACACCAGUGGCGAAGGCGGCUGCCUGGACUGUAACUGACACUGAGGCGCGAAAGCGUGGGGAGCAAACAGGANUGGAUACCCUGNNAGUCCACGCCGUAAACGAUGGGUACUAGGUGUNGGAGGUAUC
Molecule: ribosomal RNA, 362 nt
Filed under: uncultured bacterium
Lineage: Bacteria
Description: bacterial SSU rRNA
Rfam family: Bacterial small subunit ribosomal RNA
Source: RNAcentral